RNAcentral lists this ribosomal RNA (253 nucleotides) under uncultured bacterium. RNAcentral's name for it is "partial 16S ribosomal RNA". It matches the Rfam family "Bacterial small subunit ribosomal RNA", at positions 524 to 776 of the family's 1533-position model. The record is from RNAcentral.
UACGAAGGGGGCUAGCGUUGCUCGGAAUCACUGGGCGUAAAGCGCACGUAGGCGGAUUGUUAAGUCAGGGGUGAAAUCCUGGAGCUCAACUCCAGAACUGCCUUUGAUACUGGCGAUCUUGAGUCCGGGAGAGGUGAGUGGAACUGCGAGUGUAGAGGUGAAAUUCGUAGAUAUUCGCAAGAACACCAGUGGCGAAGGCGGCUCACUGGCCCGGUACUGACGCUGAGGUGCGAAAGCGUGGGGAGCAAACCGG